ACGAACGCUGGCGGCAGGCCUAACACAUGCAAGUCGAACGUGAAGCCACCUUCGGGUGGUGGAAAGUGGCAGACGGGUGAGUAACGCGUGGGAACGUGCCUUUCGGUUCGGGAUAACCCAGGGAAACUUGGGCUAAUACCGGAUACGCCCUCCGGGGGAAAGAUUCAUUGCCGAAAGAUCGGCCCGCGUCGGAUUAGCUAGUUGGUGGGGUAAAAGCCUACCAAGGCGACGAUCCGUAGCUGGUCUGAGAGGAUGACCAGCCACACUGGGACUGAGACACGGACCAGACUCCUACGGGAGGCAGCAGUGGGGAAUAUUGGACAAUGGGCGAAAGCCUGAUCCAGCCAUGCCGCGUGAGUGAUGAAGGCCCUAGGGUUGUAAAACUCUUUCGGCGGGGACGAUAAUGACGGUACCCGCAGAAGAAGCUCCGGCUAACUUCGU
This 441-nucleotide ribosomal RNA is filed under the name uncultured bacterium. Its description in RNAcentral is "bacterial SSU rRNA". It matches the Rfam family "Bacterial small subunit ribosomal RNA", at positions 29 to 506 of the family's 1533-position model. The record is from RNAcentral.